RNAcentral lists this ribosomal RNA (253 nucleotides) under uncultured Eubacteriales bacterium. RNAcentral describes it as "uncultured Clostridiales bacterium partial 16S ribosomal RNA". It matches the Rfam family "Bacterial small subunit ribosomal RNA", at positions 524 to 776 of the family's 1533-position model. Lineage: Bacteria; Bacillati; Bacillota; Clostridia; Eubacteriales. The record is from RNAcentral.
UACGUAGGGGGCGAGCGUUAUCCGGAUUUACUGGGUGUAAAGGGAGCGUAGACGGCCAUGCAAGCUCGGUGUGAAAGGUGCGGGCACAACCCGCAGACUGCACUGAGAACUGUAUGGCUGGAGUGCCGGAGGGGCAGGCGGAAUUCCUGGUGUAGCGGUGAAAUGCGUAGAUAUACGGAGGAACACCAGUGGCGAAGGCGGCCUGCUGGACAUUAACUGACGCUGAGGCGCGAAAGCAUGGGUAGCGAACAGG